Molecule: long non-coding RNA, 3624 nt
Organism: Gallus gallus (chicken)
Lineage: Eukaryota; Metazoa; Chordata; Aves; Galliformes; Phasianidae
Exons: 3
Source: RefSeq, a predicted model, not a curated record
AUAUCUGUGAACAGUUUUUAUUUUUUUUGUUCCUUUUCUCAUAAUUAUUUGAAAAUUUUCUGAGUCUUCAUACAUUUUAUUUCAGUGCUUUGCUAGUAAUUUUCUAACAACUUAGUGGCAUCAGCAAUUAUUCCUAAAGUUGAAACCAUUUUUCACAAUAAAUGAUAUGAUUGUUCUAAACAGCUACUUCUCCUCCUCAUACGUUCCAGGUAGUAAAGUCAGAAGUGCAGAUGUUUUGUACUAAAUGAAAAGCAUUAAUCAUUUUCUUUUACACACAAUUCAAAUAGCUGUUGCAGUAGUCUCUGUAUGUAGAAAUUGUUGUUUGGCUGGUUUAACUGUUUUAAAACAAAUGGUUCAACCUCAAUGUCAUUUGAUACAUGUCCGGGAUAUUUUGUGUUUCAGUCAAAGGUCUAAAUAAUGUUGAUAUUAUAUCUAAUGUCUCAAAAAACAAUUAUAUUUGGGUUGCACAUAUCAGGAGAAAUAUAUUUGGGUUGCAUUUAAAAAUGCUGCAGAUGUGAGUAUAGGAUGAAAUGUAACCUCAGUGAAUGAUAUUGAAUGAUAUUGAAGACUUAAAUAAUGGAAAAGGGAUGAACUACAGUUAGAGAAAGUACAACAUCCUGUGCUUAUUAACUGUCCACAUGAAUUUUUGAAGUAAAAUGAAAGCUCCUUGACUGUUGUCCAGGACAAGAGGUUGUUAGACCUUGUAGAAUUCCUUAUGGAAUUGUUGUCUGCAUCUCCUGAAAUCUCUUACACGUUUAACUCCUUUGAACUCAUUACUAAGGGCUCUUAAGUUCAAAUUUAAGCUACAGCUCUCACUGGUAAUUAAGUUACAGCUCUCUCUCUCUCUUUCUCAUUAAUAUUAUAUGUCUGGUGGUAAUGUACUUGUUCUGAGAAGUUACAAUAGCGAAUACUGGGAGAAAUCCCUCUUUUUAUUUAACACGUGUUAAUAAAAUAUGUCCAAGUACCCAAAGUUUUCUGGUAUCUUCAUAACUUAUGGGCUAUAUCUGUAUUUAGUUCAGUUAUUUAUUCUGAAGCAAAAAAACAUAUGCUCUUGGUUCUAUCAAAAAGUCAUUCAGCCCAGAAAUCACAGCAGUAGCUGUAAAUGGGUACUUAGGAAAACGUAAAGAUAAUACCUGUCCCAAAAGCCCUUCAAUCCUUUUGCUCUUUUCUGCUCAGAGUCCUGGGUUAAUUGAGAUUUCUAAGCAGUCUGUAAACCAUGGAUUAUAUCUAUUAAAUUCAUUUAGCAAUGGCAUUGAAAUAUGAAGUUACUGUUUUGCCUCCUUUAUCUCAUUGGGUCAUCAGACAUGGCUAACUAGUGUAGUUUAGAAUUGCAGUAUUAUGACAUCAGUGGUAUCCAGGUGCAAGAAUCAGCAAAGCAUAGAAAUUGAGAGAACCUGUUUAUUUAAAGUGAUUUAAAUUAUUUUCCAUGUGAUGGAUAAGGCUUUAGUUCACUUUUUACUCCCUUGAUUAAUGACUACCACCUAAUGUUCUUUCUCAUGUGCUGUUAGAAGAAACACGAAAGAUUCAUAAAAUGAAGUUGACUGUAUCUUCAUUUUGAGAUGUAUUCUGAAUAUUCAUGAACUCAAUCAUUCUGUUCUUCAGAGAAUCACAGGAUGUUUUAUGUUGGAAGGCGCCUCUGAUCCAACACCCACGUUCAAGCAGGACCAACUAGGGCAGGUUACCCAGAAACAUUUCCAGAUGGCUUUUAAAUGUUUCCAGUAAUGGAGACUUCACAAUCUCUCUGCACAACCUAUGCCAGUGCUCACCCAUGCAGUGAAGGAGUUUUUCUGGUUGUUGAAAUUGAAGUUCCUAUGAUCAGUUUGUUCCCUUUACCUCUUGUGUCUCUCGGUAUUAGUGAAAAGAUCUUGACUCCAUCUUUUCUGCACCCUCCAUUCGGGUAUCCAUAGACAUUCAUAAAAUGAUCUUUGAGCCUCCUUUUCUCCAGACUGAGCGGGCUCAGCUCUCUCAGCUUCUCCAUACAGGAGAGAUGCUCCAGUCUCUUCAGAAUUUUUGUAACUCUUCAUUAGACGUUUUCCAGUAUACCCAUGUCUCUCUCAAAACUGAACACAGUGCUCCAAGUGUGGGCUCACCAAUGCUGAGUGGAGGGGAAGGCUUGCCUCCCUCAGCCUGCUUGCCAUACUUUGCAACCUAGUAGGUUUCUUUGCAGCAAGACCACUUUGCUGAUGCAUGUUCAUCUUGAUCUCCACCAGGACCCACCGGGUCUUUUUUGCAAAUCUGUUUUCCAACUGAUUAGCCCCCAGCAUGUACUGGUGCCAGGUUCCUCCUUGGGUGUAGGAAUCUGCAUUUUCCUUUAUUGAUCUGCAUAAGGUUCCUGUCAGCCCAUUUCACUAGCCUGUAUAAGUCCCAACAAAACUCUGAUGUAUUUGUCAGUGCUCCCUAUUGAGUGUCAUUUGUCAGCUCAUUUAUGACCAUCCCGUCAUGAAUGAAGCUGUUAAACAGGGUUGGAACCAGUAUUACCCCCAGCUUUACACCAUUAGUUUUUGGCUUCCAACAAGAUUUUGUGCCAUGCUCUGAGCUGGCCUCACUGUCUGCUCAUAUAGUUCAUACAUCAGCAGUUCUCUCUGAGGAUCCUAAGAGAAGCAACUCAAAGGCCUUACUUGUAGUCCAAGUAGGCAAUACCCGCUGUUAUCCCCUUAUCUAUCAAGCCAUUAAUUUCACUGUAGAAAUUUAUCAAGGUGCUAAGCAUGAAGACUAUGGAAAACCUCUGAGGACGUCUCUGUUAAAUUUGAUAAUGCUGGCUUUUUUUGGAUACAGCUGAAGAUGCUGUGCAUUUCAGAGUCCUUUGAACGAAACAAUUCUUAGGGAGGCUUUUACUCAAAUACUUUCCUUUGCCGCUAGUGUCCCAAAGUGUAAGUCUCUUCUUUUCAUAGUUUUUUUAAAAUUAUUUCCUCUCUAUGUAUAUUUCUAGCCACGUCACAAAUCGUUGUCAGUGAGUUUUCAAGCAGGUGUGGUGAAGAAAUGCAGUUUUAAAAGAGCAAACGGAACUAGAAAUGAUGCACAAACAUUAAGAUUACACCAAAAUAAGAUAUUUGCAUUUUUAUGUGCCUGAAAUCAGUCACUAAGUAUUGUAGAGGUGCCCUGUGCAUGUUAAUAAAUGAAACUAAUUAAAGUCUUCAGAAAUUAUGCUAGAACAGUAUUCAAAUUCUUGCAUAAUUCCAUAAAACCCUCUUAAAAUUCUAUGUGAAUGAUUAUAUAUUAAAUUCAACAAGUCCUUAUCAGAAUAGUUUGACCUUUUUGUAUUAGUCAGCAAGAAAUCUUAUUCCUUUCAGUCUUCAGUUUUUAGUAAAAAGCAGAGAGUUUUAUUGCUGAAAUUUGCUGUUGCCACAUUCAAGGAAAACACUCAACAGUCCAAAUGGAACAGAAAAAAAAUCUGAAAAUUAUUUACACUGCCACACUGAGAUGACUUUUUUUCUUCCUUGCCUUAACCCUUUGGUUUCAUUAUCAGUUCUGAUCACUUAUUCAUUCUAGUCUCUCUGUGUGAUGUUCUCUGUAAGGGAUUUGGGAUAGAAGACUGCAUCUUGUAUAGCAUUAAACUGCGUAAUUCCACCCUUCAUACUGUCUCAAGGUAAAUCAAACAGAAAUGAAUAAAGUCAGUACAAACUA